UUUUCAGUCGUCCGGAGAAGGUCGCGUCGCGCUGGUGCUCCAUCAGCGUCGAAAUCGCACCUUUCUCGAGGCUGCGG
Molecule: small RNA, 77 nt
Filed under: Sinorhizobium meliloti 2011
Lineage: Bacteria; Pseudomonadati; Pseudomonadota; Alphaproteobacteria; Hyphomicrobiales; Rhizobiaceae
Description: putative ncRNA
Source: RNAcentral